Molecule: ribosomal RNA, 372 nt
Filed under: uncultured Glomeromycotina
Lineage: Eukaryota; Fungi; Glomeromycota
Description: LSU rRNA
Source: RNAcentral
UUGAAAGGGAAACGAUUGAAGUCAGUCGUACCUGUGGGUAAUCAGCCUUUUGGGUGUGAUUUUGUGGAGUGUGAGGAGUUAAACGCCUUCAUGCCUGCAUAUUCGUGCACUUUGGGUGUAUUUACCCGUGUGGUAAGUUAACAUCAAUUUCGGUGGUCAUAAAAUGGCUGGAGGAAUGUAGCUUCGAUCUCGUAUUGAAGUGUUAUAGCCUUCGGUAGAUGUGAUAAUCGGGAUUGAGGAUUGCAACGGAUACCUUCGGGGCUACCUGUCUGAUCUCUGAUCGUUGCUCUGGUGCCGAAAGCUUGCUUACGGUUAUCAAAGUCGAUGGUCAAUAGGUCAGAACGGGUUAAAUUCGUUAAGGAUGUUGACGUA